Molecule: ribosomal RNA, 301 nt
Filed under: uncultured bacterium
Lineage: Bacteria
Description: partial 16S ribosomal RNA
Rfam family: Bacterial small subunit ribosomal RNA
Source: RNAcentral
CAGCAGCCGCGGGAACACGAAGGGGGCUAGCGUUGCCCGGAAUUACUGGGCGUAAAGGGAGCGUAGGCGGAUCGUUAAGUUGGGGGUGAAAGCCCGGGGCUCCACCUCGGAAUUGCCUUCAAUACUGGCGAUCUUGAGUAUGGAAGAGGUAUGUGGAACUCCGAGUGUAGAGGUGAAAUUCGUAGAUAUUCGGAAGAACACCAGUGGCGAAGGCGACAUACUGGUCCAUUACUGACGCUGAGGCUCGAAAGCGUGGGUAGCAAACAGGAUUAGAGACCCCCGUAGUCCCUGUCUCUUAUAC